UGGGGUGCUCGAGUGGCGAACGGGUGAGUAACACGUGAGUAACCUGCCCUUGACUUUGGGAUAACUUCAGGAAACUGGGGCUAAUACCGGAUAGGAGCUCCUGCUGCAUGGUGGGGGUUGGAAAGUUUCGGCGGUUGGGGAUGGACUCGCGGCUUAUCAGCUUGUUGGUGGGGUAGUGGCUUACCAAGGCUUUGACGGGUAGCCGGCCUGAGAGGGUGACCGGCCACAUUGGGACUGGGAUACGGCCCAG
RNAcentral lists this ribosomal RNA (250 nucleotides) under uncultured Actinomycetales bacterium. Its description in RNAcentral is "partial 16S ribosomal RNA". It matches the Rfam family "Bacterial small subunit ribosomal RNA", at positions 83 to 334 of the family's 1533-position model. Lineage: Bacteria; Bacillati; Actinomycetota; Actinomycetes; Actinomycetales. The record is from RNAcentral.